This 1907-nucleotide ribosomal RNA is filed under the name Streptococcus pneumoniae. RNAcentral describes it as "23S ribosomal RNA". It matches the Rfam family "Bacterial large subunit ribosomal RNA", at positions 1301 to 2925 of the family's 2925-position model. Lineage: Bacteria; Bacillati; Bacillota; Bacilli; Lactobacillales; Streptococcaceae. The record is from RNAcentral.
GAUUAGCUCAGCUGGGAGAGCACCUGCCUUACAAGCAGGGGGUCGGCGGUUCGAUCCCGUCAUCCUCCACCAUAAUAUUAUAAUGAAAGAAGUGGCUAAACGCGGCGGACUGUAAAUCCGCUCCUUCGGGUUCGGCAGUUCGAAUCUGCCCCCCUCCACCAUUCUUAAUUAAUGGGCUAUAGCCAAGCGGUAAGGCAACGGACUUUGACUCCGUCAUGCGCUGGUUCGAAUCCAGCUAGCCCAGCCAUUAAGAGCCAUUAGCUCAGUUGGUAGAGCAUCUGACUUUUAAUCAGAGGGUCGAAGGUUCGAGUCCUUCAUGGCUCACCAUUUUAACAAAAUAUGCGGGUGUGGCGGAAUUGGCAGACGCACCAGACUUAGGAUCUGGCGCCUUUGGCGUGGGGGUUCGACUCCCUUCACCCGCACUUUUAAUUAAAUAACUCAUACAUGUCUUGCGGAAGUAGUUCAGUGGUAGAAUACAACCUUGCCAAGGUUGGGGUCGCGGGUUCGANGUUAGGCUGAUAAGUAGGCAAAUCCGCUUAUCGUAAAGGCUGAGCUGUGAUGGGGAAGCUCCUUAUGGAGCGAAGUCUUUGAUUCCCCGCUGCCAAGAAAAGCUUCUAGCGAGAUAAAAGGUGCCUGUACCGCAAACCGACACAGGUAGGCGAGGAGAGAAUCCUAAGGUGUGCGAGAGAACUCUGGUUAAGGAACUCGGCAAAAUGACCCCGUAACUUCGGGAGAAGGGGUGCUUUCUUAACGGAAAGCCGCAGUGAAUAGGCCCAAGCGACUGUUUAGCAAAAACACAGCUCUCUGCGAAGCCGUAAGGCGAAGUAUAGGGGGUGACACCUGCCCGGUGCUGGAAGGUUAAGGAGAGGGGUUAGCGUAAGCGAAGCUCUGAACUGAAGCCCCAGUAAACGGCGGCCGUAACUAUAACGGUCCUAAGGUAGCGAAAUUCCUUGUCGGGUAAGUUCCGACCCGCACGAAAGGUGUAACGAUUUGGGCACUGUCUCAACCAGAGACUCGGUGAAAUUAUAGUACCUGUGAAGAUGCAGGUUACCCGCGACAGGACGGAAAGACCCCGUGGAGCUUUACUGUAGCCUGAUAUUGAAUUUUGGUACAGUUUGUACAGGAUAGGCGGGAGCCUUUGAAACCGGAGCGCUAGCUUCGGUGGAGGCGCUGGUGGGAUACCGCCCUGACUGUAUUGAAAUUCUAACCUACGGGUCUUAUCGACCCGGGAGACAGUGUCAGGUGGGCAGUUUGACUGGGGCGGUCGCCUCCUAAAGUGUAACGGAGGCGCCCAAAGGUUCCCUCAGAAUGGUUGGAAAUCAUUCGUAGAGUGCAAAGGCAUAAGGGAGCUUGACUGCGAGACCUACAAGUCGAGCAGGGACGAAAGUCGGGCUUAGUGAUCCGGUGGUUCCGCAUGGAAGGGCCAUCGCUCAACGGAUAAAAGCUACCCCGGGGAUAACAGGCUUAUCUCCCCCAAGAGUCCACAUCGACGGGGAGGUUUGGCACCUCGAUGUCGGCUCAUCGCAUCCUGGGGCUGUAGUCGGUCCCAAGGGUUGGGCUGUUCGCCCAUUAAAGCGGUACGCGAGCUGGGUUCAGAACGUCGUGAGACAGUUCGGUCCCUAUCCGUCGUGGGCGUAGGAAAUUUGAGAGGAGCUGUCCUUAGUACGAGAGGACCGGGAUGGACGCACCGCUGGUGUACCAGUUGUUCUGCCAAGGGCAUAGCUGGGUAGCUAUGUGCGGAAGGGAUAAGUGCUGAAAGCAUCUAAGCAUGAAGCCCCCCUCAAGAUGAGAUUUCCCAUAGCGUAAGCUAGUAAGAUCCCUGAAAGAUGAUCAGGUUGAUAGGUUCGAGGUGGAAGCAUGGUGACAUGUGGAGCUGACGAAUACUAAUAGAUCGAGGACUUAACCAU